RNAcentral lists this ribosomal RNA (468 nucleotides) under uncultured bacterium. RNAcentral's name for it is "partial 16S ribosomal RNA". It matches the Rfam family "Bacterial small subunit ribosomal RNA", at positions 28 to 507 of the family's 1533-position model. The record is from RNAcentral.
GACGAACGCUGGCGGCGUGCUUAACACAUGCAAGUCGAACGGAAAGGCACUGCUUGUGUGGGGUGCUCGAGUGGCGAACGGGUGAGUAACACGUGAGUAACGUGCCCUUGACUUUGGGAUAACUUCAGGAAACUGGGGCUAAUACCGGAUAGGAGCUCCUGCUGCAUGGAGGGGGUUGGAAAGUUUCGGCUGGCGGGGAUGGACUGGCGGCUUAUCAGCUUGUUGGUCGGGUAGUGGCUUACCAAGUCUUUGGCGGGUAGCCGGCCCGAGAGGGUGACCGGCGUCCUGGCGCCUGCGGUACGGCGCAGACUCGUACGUGAGGCAGUGGUGGGGAAUAUUGCACAGUGGUCGCACGCCUGAGGCAGCAACGUCGCGUUCGUGAUGACGGCCUUCGGGUUGUAAACCGCUUCCGCCUGUGACGAAGCGUGAGUGACGGUAAUGGGUAAAGAAGCACCGGCUAACUACGUG